Molecule: ribosomal RNA, 500 nt
Filed under: uncultured bacterium
Lineage: Bacteria
Description: partial 16S ribosomal RNA
Rfam family: Bacterial small subunit ribosomal RNA
Source: RNAcentral
GAUGAACGCUGGCGGCAGGCCUAACACAUGCAAGUCGAGCGGAUGAGAGGAGCUUGCUCCUUGAUUCAGCGGCGGACGGGUGAGUAAUGCCUAGGAAUCUGCCUGGUAGUGGGGGAUAACGUUCCGAAAGGAACGCUAAUACCGCAUACGUCCUACGGGAGAAAGCAGGGGACCUUCGGGCCUUGCGCUAUCAGAUGAGCCUAGGUCGGAUUAGCUAGUUGGUGAGGUAAUGGCUCACCAAGGCGACGAUCCGUAACUGGUCUGAGAGGAUGAUCAGUCACACUGGAACUGAGACACGGUCCAGACUCCUACGGGAGGCAGCAGUGGGGAAUAUUGGACAAUGGGCGAAAGCCUGAUCCAGCCAUGCCGCGUGUGUGAAGAAGGUCUUCGGAUUGUAAAGCACUUUAAGUUGGGAGGAAGGUCAGUAAAUUAAUACCUUGCUGUUUUGACGUUACCAACAGAAUAAGCACCGGCUAACUUCGUGCCAGCAGCCGCUGUAA